RNAcentral lists this ribosomal RNA (413 nucleotides) under uncultured prokaryote. RNAcentral describes it as "bacterial SSU rRNA". It matches the Rfam family "Bacterial small subunit ribosomal RNA", at positions 505 to 918 of the family's 1533-position model. The record is from RNAcentral.
GUGUCAGCCGCCGCGGUAAUACGUAGGGUGCGAGCGUUAAUCGGAAUUACUGGGCGUAAAGGGUGCGCAGGCGGUUUUGUAAGUCAGAUGUGAAAUCCCCGGGCUUAACCUGGGAACUGCGUUUGAAACUACAAGACUAGAGUGUAGCAGAGGGGGGUGGAAUUCCACGUGUAGCAGUGAAAUGCGUAGAGAUGUGGAGGAACACCAAUGGCGAAGGCAGCCCCCUGGGUUAACACUGACGCUCAGGCACGAAAGCGUGGGGAGCAAACAGGAUUAGAUACCCUGGUAGUCCACGCCCUAAACUAUGUCAACUAGUUGUCGGGCCUUAACGGGUUUGGUAACGUAGCUAACGCAUGAAGUUGACCGCCUGGGGAGUACGGUCGCAAGAUUAAAACUUAAAUGAAUUGACGGGG